UGGCUCAGGACGAACGCUGGCGGCGUGCCUAAUACAUGCAAGUCGAGCGCAGGAAACUGACGGAACUCUUCGGAGGGAAGGCAGUGGAAUGAGCGGCGGACGGGUGAGUAACACGUAAGGAACCUGCCUCAAGGAUUGGGAUAACUCCGAGAAAUCGGAGCUAAUACCGGAUAGUUCAUCGGACCGCAUGGUCCGUUGAUGAAAGGCGCUCCGGCGUCACCUUGAGAUGGCCUUGCGGUGCAUUAGCUAGUUGGUGGGGUAACGGCCCACCAAGGCGACGAUGCAUAGCCGACCUGAGAGGGUGAUCGGCCACACUGGGACUGAGACACGGCCCAGACUCCUACGGGAGGCAGCAGUAGGGAAUCUUCCACAAUGGACGAAAGUCUGAUGGAGCAACGCCGCGUGAGUGAUGAAGGUUUUCGGAUCGUAAAACUCUGUUGUAAGGGAAGAACACGUACGAGAGGGAAUGCUCGUACCUUGACGGUACCUUACGAGAAAGCCACGGCUAACUACGUGCCAGCAGCCGCGGUAAU
RNAcentral lists this ribosomal RNA (533 nucleotides) under uncultured bacterium. Its description in RNAcentral is "bacterial SSU rRNA". It matches the Rfam family "Bacterial small subunit ribosomal RNA", at positions 20 to 524 of the family's 1533-position model. The record is from RNAcentral.